UGCCUCUCCUUGGACAACAACACGCAGCUGACCGUCGGAAUCGCCGUCUACGACGUCAAUUACGAUGCGGCACCCAAGAACUGCGACAAGCUCAGGGGAGGCGCUUGGUCGCGUCUUAUGUGGCUCGAAAGGAUGCGAAAGUUGCUCAGAGUUUCCGUCGGCUACCAUCCGGGGAGAUUUUUGGCGCGCUGCCUGUACGAUAUCAAAUCUAGGACGAAGAUAGCCGCUCGCCGGGCGCCUCCUACCCGUGCCAUGUCGCCAGUGCCCGGAAGAAAGUUUCGAUUUAUUACUCCGUGAAAUAUUUUUUUCGCUAACAUUUAAUCACUUAGUCAAUGGAGCGCUCAUGCCCCCACAUUUCUUCAUUCAUGUAUUGCUGAAACCACGCGCUUGAAACCAACGAGGACGUUGUUGCGGCGAGGUCCUAUACACAACUAUACUGCCGAGCACGCCACCUACAGGCGGAAGAUUCACGUACUCGGAUGUGGCGAAGGUGCUUGACGUAAAAUAAUAUAAUAAAUGCGUAAGCCAAGAG
Molecule: non-coding RNA, 532 nt
Organism: Dermacentor albipictus
Lineage: Eukaryota; Metazoa; Arthropoda; Arachnida; Ixodida; Ixodidae
Source: RefSeq, a predicted model, not a curated record